GCUCACUUUGGCAGCAUCAACUAAAAUUGGAAAGAUACAGAAAAGAUUAGCAUGGCCCCUGCCCGAGGAUGACAUGCAAAUUCGUGAAGCGUUCCAUAUUUUU
This is a small nuclear RNA of Callithrix jacchus (white-tufted-ear marmoset), 103 nucleotides long. NCBI's taxonomy places the organism in Eukaryota, Metazoa, Chordata, Mammalia, Primates, Cebidae. The record is from Ensembl.